This is a long non-coding RNA of Zalophus californianus (California sea lion), 450 nucleotides long. RefSeq lists it as uncharacterized. The transcript has 3 exons. The record is from RefSeq and is a predicted model, not a curated record. NCBI's taxonomy places the organism in Eukaryota, Metazoa, Chordata, Mammalia, Carnivora, Otariidae.
UGAGGGAGCGGAGUUACCACUUGUGCUUAGGGUUAGGGAGGCAACAGUGAGGGGCUGAGUUAGUUAAUUAGUUAGGUGAUGGUGGCUUUCACGGUGUUGUUCUGCAUGCAGGUGCCUUUGAGUUUCACUAAAAAGAUGGUGGAGAAAUUGAGGGUAGUGUCAAGCCAUAGGCGUUGUUUGAAGCAAGAUGCCUCUUUAAUACACCUGAGCUUCCCUUGAAGCAAGCGGGCAAGCAGCGGGAAGCCGUGUCCAUCCCUCUCCAGUGCUCAGUUGUCAAAGUAAAUGGAAUGCGGGGAUCCACUCACUGUCUGCCCUUAAAGAAAAAACUUUUUGGAUUUGGGUCCGUUGCUAGGUGUGACCAUAAGUUUGUCCUUGGAUUAUAACCAAGGGGAGUCUUCCUGGAAGGAAAGCUACCUGCAUCUGACUUACUUGAGUUUGGCCCUGGCGUGA